CAAGCAAGUGUGGACCGAGUCAGCUAAGAUGGUCACUGUAGUCCAUGGAGGCCAAGAUCACCAACUUAAGUCACCGUUCUUGACCAAGAAGGACGACCCAGGAAUGCCAAGCAUUUACUGCUCCAUAAAUGGAUACAACUUCUACAAGACGAUUUGCGACACCGGAUCAGGCGUCAACAUAAUGGCCGCAGUCACCUAUCGGCUCUUGUUCGGGACCAUGCCACUAAGACCAACAUACAUUCAGCUCCAGAUGGCAGAUCAGACAUUUCGAGAAGUUAAAGGAAUAGUAU
RNAcentral lists this long non-coding RNA (290 nucleotides) under Sorghum bicolor (sorghum). Its description in RNAcentral is "long non-coding RNA (SBIC_LNC014107)". The record is from RNAcentral. Lineage: Eukaryota; Viridiplantae; Streptophyta; Magnoliopsida; Poales; Poaceae.